AGAGUUUGAUCAUGGCUCAGGACGAACGCUGGCGGCGUGCCUAAUACAUGCAAGUCGAGCGGACCGACGGGAGCUUGCUCCCUUAGGUCAGCGGCGGACGGGUGAGUAACACGUGGGUAACCUGCCUGUAAGACUGGGAUAACUCCGGGAAACCGGGGCUAAUACCGGAUGCUUGAUUGAACCGCAUGGUUCAAUCAUAAAAGGUGGCUUUUAGCUACCACUUGCAGAUGGACCCGCGGCGCAUUAGCUAGUUGGUGAGGUAACGGCUCACCAAGGCGACGAUGCGUAGCCGACCUGAGAGGGUGAUCGGCCACACUGGGACUGAGACACGGCCCAGACUCCUACGGGAGGCAGCAGUAGGGAAUCUUCCGCAAUGGACGAAAGUCUGACGGAGCAACGCCGCGUGAGUGAUGAAGGUUUUCGGAUCGUAAAACUCUGUUGUUAGGGAAGAACAAGUACCGUUCGAAUAGGGCGGCACCUUGACGGUACCUAACCAGAAAGCCACGGCUAACUACGUGCCAGCAGCCGCGGUAAUACGUAGGUGGCAAGCGUUGUCCGGAAUUAUUGGGCGUAAAGCGCGCGCAGGCGGUUUCUUAAGUCUGAUGUGAAAGCCCCUGGCUCAACCGGGGAGGGUCAUUGGAAACUGGGGAACUUGAGUGCAGAAGAGGAGAGUGGAAUUCCACGUGUAGCGGUGAAAUGCGUAGAGAUGUGGAGGAACACCAGUGGCGAAGGCGACUCUCUGGUCUGUAACUGACGCUGAGGCGCGAAAGCGUGGGGAGCGAACAGGAUUAGAUACCCUGGUAGUCCACGCCGUAAACGAUGAGUGCUAAGUGUUAGAGGGUUUCCGCCCCUUAGUGCUGCAGCAAACGCAUUAAGCACUCCGCCUGGGGAGUACGGUCGCAAGACUGAAACUCAAGGGAAUUGACGGGGGGCCCACACAAGCGGUGGAGCAUGUGGUUUAAUUUCGGAAGCAACGCGAGGAC
RNAcentral lists this ribosomal RNA (983 nucleotides) under Bacillus licheniformis. RNAcentral's name for it is "bacterial SSU rRNA". It matches the Rfam family "Bacterial small subunit ribosomal RNA", at positions 8 to 968 of the family's 1533-position model. The record is from RNAcentral. Lineage: Bacteria; Bacillati; Bacillota; Bacilli; Caryophanales; Bacillaceae.